RNAcentral lists this ribosomal RNA (471 nucleotides) under Oxalobacteraceae bacterium. RNAcentral's name for it is "bacterial SSU rRNA". It matches the Rfam family "Bacterial small subunit ribosomal RNA", at positions 391 to 855 of the family's 1533-position model. The record is from RNAcentral. Lineage: Bacteria; Pseudomonadati; Pseudomonadota; Betaproteobacteria; Burkholderiales; Oxalobacteraceae.
GCAAUGCCGCGUGAGUGAAGAAGGCCUUCGGGUUGUAAAGCUCUUUUGUCAGGGAAGAAACGGCCUGUUCUAAUACAGUGGGCUAAUGACGGUACCUGAAGAAUAAGCACCGGCUAACUACGUGCCAGCAGCCGCGGUAAUACGUAGGGUGCAAGCGUUAAUCGGAAUUACUGGGCGUAAAGCGUGCGCAGGCGGUUUUGUAAGUUUGUCGUGAAAUCCCCGGGCUCAACCUGGGAAUGGCGAUGAAGACUGCAAGGCUAGAGUUUGGCAGAGGGGGGUAGAAUUCCACGUGUAGCAGUGAAAUGCGUAGAUAUGUGGAGGAACACCGAUGGCGAAGGCAGCCCCCUGGGUCAAAACUGACGCUCAUGCACGAAAGCGUGGGGAGCAAACAGGAUUAGAUACCCUGGUAGUCCACGCCCUAAACGAUGUCUACUAGUUGUCGGGUCUUAAUUGACUUGGUAACGCAGCUAA